UACGGAGGGUGCAAGCGUUAUCCGGAUUCACUGGGUUUAAAGGGAGCGUAGGCGGGCUGGUAAGUCAGUGGUGAAAUCUUCGAGCUUAACUCGGAAACUGCCGUUGAUACUAUCUGUCUUGAAUACCGUGGAGAUGAGCGGAAUAUGUCAUGUAGCGGUGAAAUGCUUAGAUAUGACAUAGAACACCAAUGGCGAAGGCAGCUCGUUACACGAAUAUUGACGCUGAGGCUCGAAAGUGUGGGGAUCAAACAGG
This 253-nucleotide ribosomal RNA is filed under the name uncultured bacterium. Its description in RNAcentral is "partial 16S ribosomal RNA". It matches the Rfam family "Bacterial small subunit ribosomal RNA", at positions 524 to 776 of the family's 1533-position model. The record is from RNAcentral.